Molecule: ribosomal RNA, 269 nt
Filed under: uncultured prokaryote
Description: partial 16S ribosomal RNA
Rfam family: Bacterial small subunit ribosomal RNA
Source: RNAcentral
UACGUAGGGUGCGAGCGUUGUCCGGAAUUACUGGGCGUAAAGAGCUCGUAGGCGGUUUGUCGCGUCGUCUGUGAAAUCCUCCAGCUUAACUGGGGGCGUGCAGGCGAUACGGGCAGACUUGAGUACUACAGGGGAGACUGGAAUUCCUGGUGUAGCGGUGGAAUGCGCAGAUAUCAGGAGGAACACCGGUGGCGAAGGCGGGUCUCUGGGUAGUAACUGACGCUGAGGAGCGAAAGCAUGGGUAGCGAACAGGAUUAGAUACCCGGGUA